This 1943-nucleotide long non-coding RNA is filed under the name Lynx pardinus (Iberian lynx). The record is from RNAcentral. Lineage: Eukaryota; Metazoa; Chordata; Mammalia; Carnivora; Felidae.
UGCGGAGGAAGGAGAAGGAGCUGUGUGGGGGACGCCACCCAUCCUGCCAGCCUCAGGCCGCAGCCCCUUCUCCAGGCUGGACCCCCAAGAACCCCCUUUUUCUGGACUCCUGGAACAACCGCGUCUCCCCCUUCACUUAAGUUUCCACGCUCCAGGACCUCACCACAAGCUUAACACAGGACGUCCCCUGGGAGCAGUAAGCCUGACCUAGAGCAGGCUGUCCUACAGACUGCACUUGACCGGUUCCCUGCUUACUUUGCCUUUGAUCGUUGCAACUCCUCAACUAGUUGGUAGGUUUAAAAAAUUUUUUGUUAUGAAAUAGUACAUAUAUAUAUAUAUAUACACACACACACAUAUUCACACACGGGAAUAAUAUAACCCAUUUAUAGCAGUUGUAAUGUGUCCUUCUAAUCUCUCUACUUUUUUAAAGGAACAAAACAUUAGAGCUUCAAGCUACGUUCCCACCUCCUCUCCCUUCCCUCUCCCAUGCUUAUCUCCUUUCACCACAUGCAAUUUUCCAUACGAAAUGUACACCAUUGUUUUAUGUGUUGUGAUUUAUGUCAAUGAUAUUAUUUUGCACCUUGCUGUUUUUCACUCACGACGUGUUCAUGAAUUAUUCAGGUUGAUGUGUGAGGACUUGGCUCAUUUAUUUUAAUUACUAUAAAAGUGCCCAUCAUAGAACUAGUUUCUUUAUCCUCUCCCGUCAGAGGAUUGCUUUCACUUACUUCUAAAAAUAGGAGUGCAGUGAAAAUCCUUGCACACGCCUUCUUUGUCCAUGCGGGAGAGUUUCUCCAGGGGCUUGCAGCCCCCUCGAGGACAGGGAUUAUAGCCUUCCUCCACACCAACCCUGUCCAGAAACGGGCACAGAGCAGGUUCUUGAUAUCUGGACGUUUGUUCGUUGAGUGAGUGAACUCAAUACACUCAAGACCACCCAGACAGCACAGGUAAGGUAACUUCUGCUAACAGCCGGCUCAGCAUCCACUCCCCUUUCCUGGCUAAUGGAGGAUGCCUCCCGAGUGGUAGACGGUUAUUGGCUUAAGCCAGUCAUAAUAAGCCGGCUCCUGCUUCCCCAGCUCCCCACGCCGCCCAGCUGCGGCCACUGAGAUUGAAGGGACAUCUGGCGGGGAGUCUCAGGGCGGGGGGGACUUUGAUCCCCAGACCAAAGGGGGCUCCCAGACUGUCCGCAAAGGCAGCCCCGAUAAGAUCUCCCGUACACACGCACCUUUGCAACGCGACCCUGCCGUUCCUCCGUUAAGAGGUAGAGUUUAUUUUUCACCUCUGUGACUGGCCUUGGGACUUGCUUUGUUUGACCAAAAUGUAGAGGAGGUGACAUUGUGGGACUUCCAAGCCUUUGAACGUCCAAGAACUUUAGCAGCAAAACCUUGCUCUCUUGCUUCUCUGAAACCACCAUGCAAGAAAGCCCGGUGAGCCUGCUUGAGCAGGAGGAGGGCCAGAGAGGAAAUAUUUUAGGCUCCGUGGGCCGUACGGUCUCCAUCACCACAACUCUGCUGCCGUAGCCCGAAAGCAGACAUAGAUCAUCUGGGAGAGAAUGGAUGGCCAGGUUCCCAUAUAUCUUUACAAAAUCAGGCAGCGGGGCCUCAGAGAAUGAGAGAGCAUCUGAGGGAGACAGUUUGCUAUUGCUGCCAUACUAGAAUACCACAAACGCAGAGGCUUAACACGGAUUUAUUAUCUUACAGUUCUGGAGGUCAGAGAUCCAAGAUGGGUCUUACAAGGGUAAAAUCAAGGUGUCAGCGGGGUUGUUCUUUCUGGACGUUUUAGGGAAGGGUCCAUUCCUUGACUAGUCUAGCUGGUAGAGGCCACCCACACUCCUUGGCUAGCGGUGUCCCCCCCCCCAGCCAUGACAAUCCUCUGACCUCUACUUCUGUCAUUGUAUCUCCCACUGCCAGCAUCCAGUGCCAGACUUGUGAGCAAGGCCAUCUUGG